GUCUACGGCCACGCCACCCUGAACAAGCCCGAUGUCUGAUCUCGGAAGCUAAGCAGGGUCAGGCCUGGUUAGUACUUGGAUGGGAGACCACCUAGGAAGACCAGGUGCUGGAGGUG
RNAcentral lists this ribosomal RNA (116 nucleotides) under Pteropus alecto (black flying fox). Lineage: Eukaryota; Metazoa; Chordata; Mammalia; Chiroptera; Pteropodidae. The record is from RNAcentral.